AUACGUAGGGGACGAGCGUUGUCCGGAAUUACUGGGCGUAAAGGGCGCGCAGGCGGAUAUUUAAGUCAGCUGUAAAAGGCCUGAGCUCAACUCAUGUAUGCGGUUGAAACUGGGUAUCUAGAGUGCUGGAGAGGUAGCCGGAAUUCCCGGUGUAGCGGUGUAAUGCGUAGAUAUCGGGAAGAACACCAGUGGCGAAGGCGGCUUACUGGCCAGCAACUGACGCUGAGGCGCGAAAGCCAGGGGAGCGAACGGGAUUAGAUACCCCGGUAGUCCUGGCCGUAAACGAUGAAUGCUAGGUGUGGGUGUCGAGAGGCAUCCGUGCCGGAGUUAACGCGAUAAGCAUUCCGCCUGGGGAGUACGAUCGCAAGAUUGAAACUCAAAGGAAUUGGCGGGG
Molecule: ribosomal RNA, 394 nt
Filed under: uncultured bacterium
Lineage: Bacteria
Description: partial 16S ribosomal RNA
Rfam family: Bacterial small subunit ribosomal RNA
Source: RNAcentral